Molecule: ribosomal RNA, 283 nt
Filed under: uncultured Staphylococcus sp.
Lineage: Bacteria; Bacillati; Bacillota; Bacilli; Caryophanales; Staphylococcaceae
Description: partial 16S ribosomal RNA
Rfam family: Bacterial small subunit ribosomal RNA
Source: RNAcentral
CUCCUUUGACGUUAGCGGCGGACGGGUGAGUAACACGUGGGUAACCUACCUAUAAGACUGGGAUAACUUCGGGAAACCGGAGCUAAUACCGGAUAAUAUUUCGAACCGCAUGGUUCGAUAGUGAAAGGUGGUUUUGCUAUCACUUAUANAUGGACCCGCGCCGUAUUAGCUAGUUGGUAAGGUAACGGCUUACCAAGGCGACGAUACGUAGCCGACCUGAGGAGGGUGAUCGGCCACACUGGAACUGAGACACGGUCCAGACUCCGUACGGGAGGCAGCAGGC